UACCAGCACCCCGAGUGGUCGGGACGAUUAUUGGGCCUAAAGCAUCCGUAGCCGGUCCUACAAGUCUUCCGUUAAAUCCAGCUGCUUAACAGAUGGGCUGCGGAGGAUACUAUAAGACUAGGAGGCAGGAGAGGCAAGCGGUACUCAGUGGGUAGGGGUAAAAUCCGUUGAUCCAUUGAAGACCACCAGUGGCGAAGGCGGCUUGCCAGAAUGCGCUCGACGGUGAGGGAUGAAAGCUGGGGGAGCAAACCGG
RNAcentral lists this ribosomal RNA (253 nucleotides) under uncultured bacterium. Its description in RNAcentral is "partial 16S ribosomal RNA". It matches the Rfam family "Archaeal small subunit ribosomal RNA", at positions 474 to 727 of the family's 1478-position model. The record is from RNAcentral.